UACGUAGGGUGCAAGCGUUGUCCGGAAUUAUUGGGCGUAAAGAGCUCGUAGGCGGUCUGUCGCGUCGGCUGUGAAAACCCGGAGCUCAACUCCGGGCCUGCAGUCGAUACGGGCAGACUGGAGUUCGGCAGGGGAGACUGGAAUCCUGGGUGUAGCGGUGAAAUGCGCAGAUAUCAGGAGGAACACCGGUGGCGAAGGCGGGUCUCUGGGCCGAUACUGACGCUGAGGAGCGAA
RNAcentral lists this ribosomal RNA (234 nucleotides) under uncultured bacterium. Its description in RNAcentral is "partial 16S ribosomal RNA". It matches the Rfam family "Bacterial small subunit ribosomal RNA", at positions 524 to 757 of the family's 1533-position model. The record is from RNAcentral.